GACGAACGCUGGCGGCGUGCUUAACACAUGCAAGUCGAACGGGCCCGCUCUCUUUUUUGGGGGUGGGUUGAGUGGCGAACGGGUGAGGAUCACGUGAGUAACCUGCCCCCUGCUCCUGGAUAACUGCUUGAAAGGGCGGCUAAUACGGGGUGUGCCGGCUGGUCCGCAUGGGCCUGGUCGGGAUAGUUUCAUCUUCGGGUGUUUCGGUGGGGGAUGGGCUCGCGGCCUAUCAGCUUGUUGGUGGGGUGAUGGCCCACCAAGGCGGUGACGGGUAGCCGGCGUGAGAGGGUGGGCGGCCAGACUGGGACUGAGACACGGCCCAGACUCCUGCGGGAGGCAGCAGUGGGGGGUAGUGCACAAUGGGCGGAAGCCUGAUGCAGCGACGUCGCGUGAGGGAUGGAGGCCUUCGGGUUGUGAACCUCUUUCUCCGGUGGUGAAGGCCCUGUCCGUUGCGGCGGGGUUGACGGUAGCCGGGGAUGAAGCGCCGGCUAACUACGUG
Molecule: ribosomal RNA, 499 nt
Filed under: uncultured bacterium
Lineage: Bacteria
Description: partial 16S ribosomal RNA
Rfam family: Bacterial small subunit ribosomal RNA
Source: RNAcentral